Molecule: long non-coding RNA, 1038 nt
Organism: Antechinus flavipes (yellow-footed antechinus)
Lineage: Eukaryota; Metazoa; Chordata; Mammalia; Dasyuromorphia; Dasyuridae
Exons: 3
Source: RefSeq, a predicted model, not a curated record
AGAACAUUCAGUUUGGAGUCACAGGUCUUGGAUUCUAAUCCUGAGUGGGUGGAUAAGGUUCAUUCACAAGUCUUAAUGUAUCAUUUUUAUUACUUUUAAAGUGCAGAGGUAGACAAAAUGCCUUUUAAAACUCUUUCCAGCUCUAUUAUUCUCAGAAUCUGUAGGGUUCAGGAUUAACCAGUUUAAAGAGGAGACAUAAAUUUGAGUCCUGCCUCAGGCACUAAUUUGAUUAUAUCACCCAAAGUAACUCAGAUAACUCCUCAGGGCUUCAUUUGUAAAAUGAGGGAGUUUGGAAUAGAUGAGUUAUUCUGUCCCUUUCAAGGCUAAAAUUCUGUAAUUCUCUGAAGAUUAAAAAAAUAUCUAAAUGACAAUCUUGUUAGUUCAAGUGGAGUGCCUGAAUAUUCACUAAGAAAUUAAGACUGGGUUCUGAAGUUUCAGCCUCUGCACACUUGUCACAUCUCAUAAACCUACACUGUCCUGACUGCGUUCAUUCCUCUGCCAACUGGCAGGCCCCAAGCAUCACAUUUCUACUUCAGUGCUUAGCUUGUUUUGUUUCUUGAAGCUGCACAGAUGAAACCUGAAACCCUUAGCAUGGAGCAUGAAGUCAACACACUCCAGCGUUUCUAGAACUAAGAGGAGAAUUAAAAAAAAAAAAAAAAAAAAAAAAAAAAAAGCCUACCUUCCAAGGGACCCAUAUGGCUUUAUUGAGAUAUAUUUGUAAUUUUUAAAAAAUGGAAAUUCCCUCCUGGUAGCCCAGAUUUGCACUGGGAAAAUUCAAUUGCAGUAAGUUAUCCUUUGAAGUUGGGUGAUUCUUCCUCACUUAUUCGCUGGCAAGACUAAAAGAAAAGAACCCUUCCUCCUGAGAUUGGAUCCCAGGAAUUCCACUCUUCUUCAAAAUGAAGUAACCCAAAAUCGGCAACAAGCACAUCAAUGACAUUGUAGUGUAUCGUUACAGAAAUAACGAAGAACAAAUGCUUACCAGAUUUAUAGAAUUGGAAGGAUUGAUGUGAUGCAUCAAUAGCAACAGAGACUGGACCC